RNAcentral lists this ribosomal RNA (371 nucleotides) under uncultured bacterium. RNAcentral's name for it is "bacterial SSU rRNA". It matches the Rfam family "Bacterial small subunit ribosomal RNA", at positions 527 to 896 of the family's 1533-position model. The record is from RNAcentral.
GGAGGGUGCGAGCGUUGUCCGGAAUCACUGGGCGUAAAGGGCGCGUAGGUGGCCCGUUAAGUGGCUGGUGAAAUCCCGCGGCUCAACUGCGGGGCUGCCGGUCAGACUGGCGAGCUAGAGCACGGUAGGGGCAGAUGGAAUUCCCGGUGUAGCGGUGGAAUGCGUAGAGAUCGGGAAGAAUACCAGUGGCGAAGGCGUUCUGCUGGGCCGUUGCUGACACUGAGGCGCGACAGCGUGGGGAGCAAACAGGAUUAGAUACCCUGGUAGUCCACGCCGUAAACGAUGGACACUAGACGUCGGGGGGAGCGACCCUCCCGGUGUCGUCGCUAACGCAGUAAGUGUCCCGCCUGGGGAGUACGGCCGCAAGGCUG